GACGAACGCUGGCGGCGUGCCUAAUACAUGCAAGUGGGACGCAAGGGAACACACUGUGCUUGCACACCGUGUUUUCUUGAGUCGCGAACGGGUGAGUAACGCGUUGGUAACCUGCCUAUUAGCGGGGGAUAACUAUUGGAAACGAUAGCUAAUACCGCAUAAUAUUAAUUAUUGCAUGAUAAUUGAUUGAAAGAUGCAAGCGCAUCAUAGUAGAUGGACCUGCGUUGUAUUAGCUAGUUGGUAAGGUAAGAGCUUACCAAGGCGACGAUACAUAGCCGACCUGAGAGGGUGAUCGGCCACACUGGGACUGAGACACGGCCCAGACUCCUACGGGAGGCAGCAGUAGGGAAUCUUCGGCAAUGGACGAAAGUCUGACCGAGCAACGCCGCGUGAGUGAAGAAGGUUUUCGGAUCGUAAAGCUCUGUUGUAAGUCAAGAACGUGUGUGAGAGUGGA
Molecule: ribosomal RNA, 454 nt
Filed under: Streptococcus mutans
Lineage: Bacteria; Bacillati; Bacillota; Bacilli; Lactobacillales; Streptococcaceae
Description: bacterial SSU rRNA
Rfam family: Bacterial small subunit ribosomal RNA
Source: RNAcentral